GAAAACUGUACAGCUGAUGGGAGAUGCCUGCAAGGGAAACCUCUGCUGGGCUGAACACGAGUUGAUCAGUGUGAUGCAAACUGAAUAAGAACACAGACCAAAUACACCAGUGCCAGUCAUUUUCCUAAGGGCUGUUGGAGUGUAUGGACAACACACCUGAGAGAAGGAAGAGUUCAGCUUGAGGUACUCUGAUGAGGCAAAUGGAGCAAUGGAAUAUCUCAACAGAGGAAGAGGGAAAGAGCUAACAGUGGAGGAGCUGUGGUGCUACCAAGGCAUUCAUUUACAAGGUGUGUAUUUGCCAGCAGUUAUAGUCAAUAGACUUCAUAAGUUGCAGGUUUGCUUUUUCCCCAGAGGAAGAAAAAAGUACUUUGUACCAGUACAGCUGAGUUAUACACAUAGAGGCUCUAUAAAAAUAUACUUGAAUUUAAACUAUGUAGCAUAGAACAAGUCAGGAAGAUGGGAUGUAUAUGACAAAUAUUUGUUAUUUAGUAAACUCUUGUACAUGUAUCGCUGAAUACCAGUAACCAUGCAGUACAUAUUUCAGUCUGUAGGAUCCUUUAUUUUAUUUAAGAAAUACUAAGAGACAGGUAUAGUAAAAGCUGUGUAAAAGUUGUGUUCUGUUUUUGCAGAAAACAAAAAUAUGUUCCUUGCCCAGCACUGCAGGAUAGACAGAUAUAGGCAAAAAAUUUUCUAUAGACAAAAAUUUCUGUGGCAUCCCUUCUUCAGAAUGGUUUAUUUACA
Molecule: long non-coding RNA, 741 nt
Filed under: Gallus gallus (chicken)
Lineage: Eukaryota; Metazoa; Chordata; Aves; Galliformes; Phasianidae
Description: lncRNA (ENSGALG00010015510.1)
Source: RNAcentral